RNAcentral lists this ribosomal RNA (446 nucleotides) under uncultured bacterium. RNAcentral describes it as "bacterial SSU rRNA". It matches the Rfam family "Bacterial small subunit ribosomal RNA", at positions 354 to 796 of the family's 1533-position model. The record is from RNAcentral.
GUGAGGAAUAUUGCGCAAUGGACGAAAGUCUGACGCAGCCAUGCCGCGUGAAGGAUUGACGGCCCUAUGGGUUGUAAACUUCUUUUGUAUAGGAAUAAACCCUCGUUCGUGAACGAGGCUGAAGGUACUAUAAGAAUAAGCACCGGCUAACUCCGUGCCAGCAGCCGCGGUAAUACGGAGGGUGCAAGCGUUAUCCGGAUUUAUUGGGUUUAAAGGGUCCGUAGGCGGAUCGUUAAGUGAGUGGUGAAAUCCUACCGCUCAACGGUAGAACUGCCAUUGAUACUGGCGAUCUUGAGUAUGUAUGAAGUUGGCGGAAUGUGUGGUGUAGCGGUGAAAUGCUUAGAUAUCACACAGAACACCGAUUGCGAAGGCAGCUGACUAAUACACAACUGACGCUGAGGGACGAAAGUGUGGGGAUCAAACAGGAUUAGAAACCCGUGUAGUCC